CCGACGGGCACUCGCCCGCUCGGACACUGACAUCGGUACCUCAUACGGCCGGUGCAG
Molecule: regulatory RNA element, 57 nt
Organism: Streptomyces venezuelae ATCC 10712
Lineage: Bacteria; Bacillati; Actinomycetota; Actinomycetes; Kitasatosporales; Streptomycetaceae
Rfam family: L17-Actino-Proteobacteria ribosomal protein leader
Source: Rfam